CAGUCGAACGAACUCUGGUAUUGAUUGGUGCUUGCAUCAUGAUUUACAUUUGAGUGAGUGGCGAACUGGUGAGUAACACGUGGGAAACCUGCCCAGAAGCGGGGGAUAACACCUGGAAACAGAUGCUAAUACCGCAUAACAACUUGGACCGCAUGGUCCGAGCUUGAAAGAUGGCUUCGGCUAUCACUUUUGGAUGGUCCCGCGGCGUAUUAGCUAGAUGGUGGGGUAACGGCUCACCAUGGCAAUGAUACGUAGCCGACCUGAGAGGGUAAUCGGCCACAUUGGGACUGAGACACGGCCCAAACUCCUACGGGAGGCAGCAGUAGGGAAUCUUCCACAAUGGACGAAAGUCUGAUGGAGCAACGCCGCGUGAGUGAAGAAGGGUUUCGGCUCGUAAAACUCUGUUGUUAAAGAAGAACAUAUCUGAGAGUAACUGUUCAGGUAUUGACGGUAUUUAACCAGAAAGCCACGGCUAACUACGUGCCAGCAGCCGCGGUAAUACGUAGGUGGCAAGCGUUGUCCGGAUUUAUUGGGCGUAAAGCGAGCGCAGGCGGUUUUUUAAGUCUGAUGUGAAAGCCUUCGGCUCAACCGAAGAAGUGCAUCGGAAACUGGGAAACUUGAGUGCAGAAGAGGACAGUGGAACUCCAUGUGUAGCGGUGAAAUGCGUAGAUAUAUGGAAGAACACCAGUGGCGAAGGCGGCUGUCUGGUCUGUAACUGACGCUGAGGCUCGAAAGUAUGGGUAGCAAACAGGAUUAGAUACCCUGGUAGUCCAUACCGUAAACGAUGAAUGCUAAGUGUUGGAGGGUUUCCGCCCUUCAGUGCUGCAGCUAACGCAUUAAGCAUUCCGCCUGGGGAGUACGGCCGCAAGGCUGAAACUCAAAGGAAUUGACGGGGGCCCGCACAAGCGGUGGAGCAUGUGGUUUAAUUCGAAGCUACGCGAAGAACCUUACCAGGUCUUGACAUACUAUGCAAAUCUAAGAGAUUAGACGUUCCCUUCGGGGACAUGGAUACAGGUGGUGCAUGGUUGUCGUCAGCUCGUGUCGUGAGAUGUUGGGUUAAGUCCCGCAACGAGCGCAACCCUUAUUAUCAGUUGCCAGCAUUAAGUUGGGCACUCUGGUGAGACUGCCGGUGACAAACCGGAGGAAGGUGGGGAUGACGUCAAAUCAUCAUGCCCCUUAUGACCUGGGCUACACACGUGCUACAAUGGAUGGUACAACGAGUUGCGAACUCGCGAGAGUAAGCUAAUCUCUUAAAGCCAUUCUCAGUUCGGAUUGUAGGCUGCAACUCGCCUACAUGAAGUCGGAAUCGCUAGUAAUCGCGGAUCAGCAUGCCGCGGUGAAUACGUUCCCGGGCCUUGUACACACCGCCCGUCACACCAUGAGAGUUUGUAACACCCAAAGUCGGUGGG
This 1409-nucleotide ribosomal RNA is filed under the name Lactobacillus sp. Its description in RNAcentral is "bacterial SSU rRNA". It matches the Rfam family "Bacterial small subunit ribosomal RNA", at positions 59 to 1434 of the family's 1533-position model. The record is from RNAcentral. Lineage: Bacteria; Bacillati; Bacillota; Bacilli; Lactobacillales; Lactobacillaceae.